Molecule: long non-coding RNA, 1714 nt
Organism: Neocloeon triangulifer
Lineage: Eukaryota; Metazoa; Arthropoda; Insecta; Ephemeroptera; Baetidae
Exons: 6
Source: RefSeq, a predicted model, not a curated record
AACACAUGCGCGUUCAAGGUGGUGGCGGAUUCACGAACUAUUAAGAAUUCCCAGGAAAAAACGUAAACAAAACUUACAGAACGAAAUGGAAAGCCUGCGACUGAUGAUUUAUCGCCAAAUUGUCGCCUGCGGUUUCCACGAACAAGUGCUGCAGAAGGGGUUGCCCUGGCUUUCGUAGCCCUCGUCUAUGCACGCAUCGCCAACUGGCUGUUCAACGGACUCCUUACCUUGAAAGAUCACGCUGCCGCUGCAAUUGGAUUUGGCCUGCCCCAACCGAACUUGCCACCGCCUAACCUUGCUUGGGGGAUCUUCAACAGGCAAAUUUUUAUUCCGUUUGGCCUGUCACCCCAAACCACAGCAGCGCUAGCAAAUAGAAACUUUCUUGUUCUUGCCCAGCACGACACGUUGAACGAGUUGACCCUUGUGUUGCUUUUGAACCGGCUGAUUUUCCAUUUCCGAGACGGGCGCAACGAAACGAGACGGAUUUUGGCUGCCGCCAUGGGAGGUGCGACCUUGUCCUUUUUAGCUACUGAAGCAGACAACCGGACAGUCUUAGACAUGGCAUUCAACUUCGAAGAGCAUGAGCAUUAUGGACAUCUGUGAAGAGGAGAAUUUGGUCGUGUGCCCACGAAUUUCAUGGCAGCUUUAGCCACUAUGCUAGGAAUGGGCCUUGGCAUCAAUGCUCAGCGUCCUGUACUGCAGGAAGCAUUGGACCAAAGACUGAAUAAUUAGCUCAGAUGUUCCUCUUCGUUGUUGUUGUUGUUGACCAAAGCUGACAAGAAAAAAAUGAAGACCCUCACCAGCAAAACCGUCACUUUGGAAGUCGAGCCCUUCUAUUGAUCCUGUGUCCACGAGGUGGCAUGAAAACUUUCGUCAAGUCUGAUGUUCUGGGGCUGAAAUUCAACUGGGAAGUGGCUCUCACGUAAUUAGAUGCAGCAGACAAUGGCCACACACAAGGAGUCUGUUGACUGGUCCUGGCCUCAGGCGGUUGCUGAGAGCGCAAAGUCUGGCUGGCAACUCUGGCAAGUCUGCACUGACAGGUUCGCUGUGGAGCUGGUCUUCAGUUGAUAAAAUUAAUUCAAUGGAGAGUGAUAAUUUUAAAAUUCAAGCAAUGUAUAAGCGCUUGCCUCUCAGUCGCUAAAGAAAUAUGAACAGUUUAAUUUCAAAUCUUUUUUAGCAUAUUUAUUUAUUUUUUAGUUGUAAAGUAUGUUUAAUGUUACGCUAAAAAACGUUAACGCAUCUGGCGCGGCUAUUACAAAAAGAAAACAAAAUCUAAAAUUGGUUAAAAACCAACUCAUUUCUUCUGUGUGGAUUUUUUUUUUAGACCAAGUGAUUUUCAAUUUUACUUAAAUAAUCACCCUAUGAUUAAUUUAUGCUAAAAGCCAAAUCCGCAUUAAACCUUUUUACGGUUUUCAUAUUUGUUCCGAGAUCAGCAUGUCUACGUUUCUCUAUAUUUUUUUUUUUAAAGCUAGAUUUGAAAACAUUACAACUUUUAUUAUGUAUUUCACAAUUAAUAACAUUGGUAAUGCAUGAUAAGCAAUUUUACUCAUUUUAUGAGUUAGCUACAAUGUUAUUAACAAUACAAAAAAUUGUCACUGCAACUUGCGCAGCUAACCAAUCUGCAAACACCAUGUGCCACCUUCAACUCCACCAGCGCAUCCCCUGAAUGUGCAACGAAUAAUAAAUAAAUUCAUUCUAUGUCACAAUUAAAAUU